GUGCUGUAUCGCCAACAAACAAACCCUUUUGGGGCUGCCUUACCCUCUGCAUCUGUGUAUCGCGGCCGCGUACGAGCCUGCACGCCUGCGCGCGCUUCGAGCCGCACAUACACGCACGCUCACCUCUCUGUCCUGUCUCUGCUCGCAUCACACGCCCGGCGUCUCCAUCCCACUCGCCGCGGCUCCUUACCGUCGGCGGCCAGGCCCUCGCCUGCCUCCAAUCACUGCCAGACCAUUCCCCCGCAAUGCCCCUUCGUGCAGGCGCGCUCAUAGCCUCGACAUCCGCUGCUUCUGGCGUGAUA
Molecule: unclassified non-coding RNA, 302 nt
Filed under: Ulva prolifera
Lineage: Eukaryota; Viridiplantae; Chlorophyta; Ulvophyceae; Ulvales; Ulvaceae
Source: RNAcentral